UGGGGAAUUUUGGACAAUGGGGGAAACCCUGAUCCAGCCAUCCCGCGUGUGCGAUGAAGGCCUUCGGGUUGUAAAGCACUUUUGGCAGGAAAGAAACGUCGCGGGUUAAUACCCCGCGAAACUGACGGUACCUGCAGAAUAAGCACCGGCUAACUACGUGCCAGCAGCCGCGGUAAUACGUAGGGUGCAAGCGUUAAUCGGAAUUACUGGGCGUAAAGCGUGCGCAGGCGGUUCGGAAAGAAAGAUGUGAAAUCCCAGAGCUUAACUUUGGAACUGCAUUUUUAACUACCGGGCUAGAGUGUGUCAGAGGGAGGUGGAAUUCCGCGUGUAGCAGUGAAAUGCGUAGAUAUGCGGAGGAACACCGAUGGCGAAGGCAGCCUCCUGGGAUAACACUGACGCUCAUGCACGAAAGCGUGGGGAGCAAACAGGAUUAGAUACCCUGGUAGUCCACGCCCUAAACGAUGUCAACUAGCUGUUGGGGCCUUCGGGCCUUGGUAGCGCAGCUAACGCGUGAAGUUGACCGCCUGGGGGAGUACGGUCGCAAGAUUAAAAACUCAAAGGAA
Molecule: ribosomal RNA, 563 nt
Filed under: uncultured bacterium
Lineage: Bacteria
Description: partial 16S ribosomal RNA
Rfam family: Bacterial small subunit ribosomal RNA
Source: RNAcentral